AGGUAUGCCGCUAAGCAAACAUGCCACACACAGCGGAAUUAGUGCAAGAGGUUUAUCGGGAGGGAGAGAGCCGAUAGUGGAAAAAGCCAAAGGCUGCGCUGGAGUGGGGACUUGAGAGAGGCAGGCAGACCAGAGGAAGAGAAGCAAGAGAGACAAGAAGAGGCAAGAGAGGGAAGGAGAGGCAAGGAGAGGAGGAAGAGGCACGAGACGAGGCAAACAGGAAGAGCGCUGCCUGGCGGGCACUUUUAAAGGGUGCACAUGCCAUCGAAAAGGACCUGGAGACAGGAGAUGAGGUAACUGCUUUGGCAGAGGCUGGGCAGGGGACAUGCAGCUUAUCAAGGAGGCACAGUAGCAGGCUUCAUAGCUAGCAGGAGCUGAGUAGAGCAGGAAGAAAGAACAGAGAUAAGGACUUGGGAAAAGCAUGAAAACAGGGUUCCCCCUUCCAUCUAUCUAUUGGAUCGGUGGUAGAAGUUGCCAAGGUCCCGUGAAAUACUGGGAUAUGGAGUUCCGGUCCACUCUUCCUGAAAGACAUGUGCCAUGUCUGAAGCCCUCAACAUCUCCUGGAAAUGCCAUAUCCGCCCAAGCUCCUGGGACAUCAGUGCUGGUACCACCUCUCCAGGCUCAAGUGCAACUUGACUUCUCUGCUUCCUCAAGAAACAGAUUCCUGAGGUCUCCAGGAUGGCAGUUAACCAAAUGCUUCUUCACCCACACCUCAGGCUCAGCAUGACCCACUGACUCCCAACUUCCCCUCUCCAUGUCAUCCCAUACCAACAGGAAGAAGCCAGACUUGAAGCUAUGCCCAUAUGUCCAAGAAGGUCAGGAUGUGGAUGUUCGGCUGGAACCUCCAGCUCCACCCCAUUCCAUUCCCCACCCUCUCAGAAAGAACUUGUCCACAGGGUCUUUAAGCCCCCUCCUCUAGACCAGCCAGUGAUUUCUCCUCUUCCCUUCCCCUACCUCACCUCUGGGGACUGGAGAGAUCACCUGGGGGUGCUGUGCCCAAUAAACCUGGUCUUUUUAAUACA
Peromyscus maniculatus bairdii (prairie deer mouse) is the source of this 1022-nucleotide non-coding RNA. NCBI's taxonomy places the organism in Eukaryota, Metazoa, Chordata, Mammalia, Rodentia, Cricetidae. The record is from RefSeq and is a predicted model, not a curated record.